Molecule: non-coding RNA, 73 nt
Organism: Lethenteron reissneri (Far Eastern brook lamprey)
Lineage: Eukaryota; Metazoa; Chordata; Hyperoartia; Petromyzontiformes; Petromyzontidae
Source: the annotation of a RefSeq genome assembly
GGCUCCAUAGCUCAGUGGUUAGGGCACUGGUCUUGUAAGCCAUGGGUCGUGAGUUAAAUUCUCGCUGGGGCCU